Molecule: ribosomal RNA, 497 nt
Filed under: uncultured bacterium
Lineage: Bacteria
Description: partial 16S ribosomal RNA
Rfam family: Bacterial small subunit ribosomal RNA
Source: RNAcentral
GAUGAACGCUGGCGGCGUGCCUAAUACAUGCAAGUCGAGCGAACAGAUGAGGAGCUUGCUCCUCUGACGUUAGCGGCGGACGGGUGAGUAACACGUGGAUAACCUACCUAUAAGACUGGGAUAACUUCGGGAAACCGGAGCUAAUACCGGAUAAUAUAUUGAACCGCAUGGUUCAAUAGUGAAAGACGGUUUUGCUGUCACUUAUAGAUGGCUCCGCGCCGCAUUAGCUAGUUGGUAAGGUAACGGCUUACCAAGGCAACGAUGCAUAGCCGACCUGAGAGGGUGAUCGGCCACACUGGAACUGAGACACGGUCCAGACUCCUAGGGGAGGCAGCAGUAGGGAAUCUUCCGCAAUGGGCGAAAGCCUGACGGAGCAACGCCGCGUGAGUGAUGAAGGUCUUCGGAUCGUAAAACUCUGUUAUUAGGGAAGAACAAAUGUGUAAGUAACUGUGCACAUCUUGACGGUACCUAAUCAGAAAGCCACGGCUAACUACGUG